AUAAAGCUUUAUAUUUAGGAGUAUCAACAUAUCAAUGAUUAGUAAAGAAGGCGAGACAUUUCAGCGUGUGCACUCUUGUACUUAGGUUUGGGAACGACUUAUAAUAAGUCAAUGGUAUUUGGUAUGCAGUUGUAUAAGCAUUGGCACAUCUCAUUUACAUGGAGAUUGUUUAGCCAUGUAACUCAGUCAUGGUUCAUUGACUUUGAAUAUUUGCAUAACUUGUGUAAGAUGUUAAAGUAUUGCUAUUUUGAUUUCAACAUUUGCAUAAUCAAAAUUACAAAA
Molecule: long non-coding RNA, 282 nt
Filed under: Mytilus galloprovincialis (Mediterranean mussel)
Lineage: Eukaryota; Metazoa; Mollusca; Bivalvia; Mytilida; Mytilidae
Source: RNAcentral